Molecule: long non-coding RNA, 507 nt
Organism: Penaeus monodon (black tiger shrimp)
Lineage: Eukaryota; Metazoa; Arthropoda; Malacostraca; Decapoda; Penaeidae
Exons: 3
Source: RefSeq, a predicted model, not a curated record
GGCGACCUCCUGGCCAUCACCGAUAUUGAAGUGUUGCGGGCUUUGUACCUCUUCAUACAGACAAAUGGUUUAUCUGGCAACACCUUCUGGCUUGGAGGAUCCGAUCAAGAAAGUGAAGGGACAUGGGUCUACACCACAGGGGAGCCUGUACCCAUGGGUACCCCUUUCUGGGGUCUUGCUGACAUGAGUGCUCCGUCCCAGGAACCCAACGGAGAAACCAGCGAGAACUGCCUCGCGAUCGGUAAUUUUUACAAUUUCAGGGACUAUUCAUGUGGUUCAGUGUUCUACCCACUGUGUGUCUACACGGGAUGAGCAAAUUGCAUGGGAAGCGUGCAAGAAAAAUUGUUGAAAUAGUAUUACUAAUAAUAAUUAAGAUUUAAAAGAAAAGAGUGAUAUUAACAUAAAUUGGAAUAAAAUACGAAUAUAGAUGAGAAAUAAAAGACAUUUUGUUUUUGCCUUGUAAGCAUUCUUUCAAUAUAUUAGUGGCUAAUAAAAGGUGCAAUUAUA